This 1486-nucleotide ribosomal RNA is filed under the name metagenome. RNAcentral's name for it is "bacterial SSU rRNA". It matches the Rfam family "Bacterial small subunit ribosomal RNA". The record is from RNAcentral.
AGAGUUUGAUCCUGGCUCAGGAUGAACGCUAGCUACAGGCUUAACACAUGCAAGUCGAGGGGCAGCAUGGUCUUAGCUUGCUAAGACUGAUGGCGACCGGCGCACGGGUGAGUAACACGUAUCCAACCUGCCGUCUACUCUUGGACAGCCUUCUGAAAGGAAGAUUAAUACAAGAUGGCAUCAUGAGUCCGCAUGUUCACAUGAUUAAAGGUAUUCCGGUAGACGAUGGGGAUGCGUUCCAUUAGAUAGUAGGCGGGGUAACGGCCCACCUAGUCUUCGACGGAUAGGGGUUCUGAGAGGAAGGUCCCCCACAUUGGAACUGAGACACGGUCCAAACUCCUACGGGAGGCAGCAGUGAGGAAUAUUGGUCAAUGGGCGAGAGCCUGAACCAGCCAAGUAGCGUGAAGGAUGACUGCCCUAUGGGUUGUAAACUUCUUUUAUAAAGGAAUAGAGUCGGGUAUGCAUACCCGUUUGCAUGUACUUUAUGAAUAAGGAUCGGCUAACUCCGUGCCAGCAGCCGCGGUAAUACGGAGGAUCCGAGCGUUAUCCGGAUUUAUUGGGUUUAAAGGGAGCGUAGAUGGAUGUUUAAGUCAGUUGUGAAAGUUUGCGGCUCAACCGUAAAAUUGCAGUUGAUACUGGAUAUCUUGAGUGCAGUUGAGGCAGGCGGAAUUCGUGGUGUAGCGGUGAAAUGCUUAGAUAUCACGAAGAACUCCGAUUGCGAAGGCAGCCUGCUAAGCUGCAACUGACAUUGAGGCUCGAAAGUGUGGGUAUCAAACAGGAUUAGAUACCCUGGUAGUCCACACGGUAAACGAUGAAUACUCGCUGUUUGCGAUAUACGGCAAGCGGCCAAGCGAAAGCGUUAAGUAUUCCACCUGGGGAGUACGCCGGCAACGGUGAAACUCAAAGGAAUUGACGGGGGCCCGCACAAGCGGAGGAACAUGUGGUUUAAUUCGAUGAUACGCGAGGAACCUUACCCGGGCUUAAAUUGCAGAUGAAUUACGGUGAAAGCCGUAAGCCGCAAGGCAUCUGUGAAGGUGCUGCAUGGUUGUCGUCAGCUCGUGCCGUGAGGUGUCGGCUUAAGUGCCAUAACGAGCGCAACCCUUGUUGUCAGUUACUAACAGGUUCUGCUGAGGACUCUGACAAGACUGCCAUCGUAAGAUGUGAGGAAGGUGGGGAUGACGUCAAAUCAGCACGGCCCUUACGUCCGGGGCUACACACGUGUUACAAUGGGGGGUACAGAGGGCCGCUACCACGCGAGUGGAUGCCAAUCCCCAAAACCUCUCUCAGUUCGGACUGGAGUCUGCAACCCGACUCCACGAAGCUGGAUUCGCUAGUAAUCGCGCAUCAGCCACGGCGCGGUGAAUGCGUUCCCGGGCCUUGUACACACCGCCCGUCAAGCCAUGGGAGCCGGGGGUACCUGAAGUGCGUAACCGCGAGGAGCGCCCUAGGGUAAAACUGGUGACUGGGGCUAAGUCGUAACAAGGUA